UUGAACGCUGGCGGCAUGCUUUACACAUGCAAGUCGAACGGCAGCGGGGGCUUCGGCCUGCCGGCGAGUGGCGAACGGGUGAGUAAUGCAUCGGAACGUGCCCAGUCAUGGGGGAUAACUACGCGAAAGCGUAGCUAAUACCGCAUACGCCCUGAGGGGGAAAGCGGGGGAUCGCAAGACCUCGCGUGAUUGGAGCGGCCGAUGUCGGAUUAGCUAGUUGGUGGGGUAAAGGCCUACCAAGGCGACGAUCCGUAGCGGGUCUGAGAGGAUGAUCCGCCACACUGGGACUGAGGCACGGCCCAGACUCCUACGGGAGGCAGCAGUGGGGAAUUUUGGACAAUGGGCGCAAGCCUGAUCCAGCCAUGCCGCGUGAGUGAAGAAGGCCUUCGGGUUGUAAAGCUCUUUCGGCCGGGACGAAAUCGCUCUCGUCAAUACCGGGAGUGGAUGACGGUACCGGAAUAAGAAGCACCGGCUAACUACGU
This 482-nucleotide ribosomal RNA is filed under the name uncultured bacterium. Its description in RNAcentral is "bacterial SSU rRNA". It matches the Rfam family "Bacterial small subunit ribosomal RNA", at positions 29 to 506 of the family's 1533-position model. The record is from RNAcentral.